RNAcentral lists this ribosomal RNA (497 nucleotides) under uncultured bacterium. RNAcentral's name for it is "partial 16S ribosomal RNA". It matches the Rfam family "Bacterial small subunit ribosomal RNA", at positions 28 to 507 of the family's 1533-position model. The record is from RNAcentral.
GAUGAACGCUGGCGGCGUGCCUAAUACAUGCAAGUCGAGCGAACAGACGAGGAGCUUGCUCCUUUGACGUUAGCGGCGGACGGGUGAGUAACACGUAGGUAACCUACCUAUAAGACUGGGAUAACUUCGGGAAACCGGAGCUAAUACCGGAUAAUAUUUCGAACCGCAUGGUUCGAUAGUGAAAGAUGGCUUUGCUAUCACUUAUAGAUGGACCUGCGCCGUAUUAGCUAGUUGGUAAGGUAACGGCUUACCAAGGCAACGAUACGUAGCCGACCUGAGAGGGUGAUCGGCCACACUGGAACUGAGACGCGGUCCAGACUCCUACGGGAGGCAGCAGUAGGGAAUCUUCCGCAAUGGGCGAAAGCCUGACGGAGCAACGCCGCGUGAGUGAUGAAGGUCUUCGGAUCGUAAAACUCUGUUAUUAGGGAAGAACAAAAGUGUAAGUAACUGUGCACGUCUUGACGGUACCUAAUCAGAAAGCCACGGCUAACUACGUG